This 217-nucleotide long non-coding RNA is filed under the name Elaeis guineensis (African oil palm). Its description in RNAcentral is "long non-coding RNA (EGUI_LNC045290)". The record is from RNAcentral. Lineage: Eukaryota; Viridiplantae; Streptophyta; Magnoliopsida; Arecales; Arecaceae.
UAUAAAGAUUAUGAGUAGGUCAACAUAGAAUUGAUCAGUCCUAGUAAGAGGAGAUCGCAUCAUGUGAAUUCUCAUCUCUAGAUGACUCGAGAAAAGACUUUUGGUCAAAAGUAGGAAGAAAAUUAGAAAGAGUUUCUAAUACUUCAUCAUCAAAGUCAUCAUUGAUUAGUUAAGAAUCGAUAUGAAUAUAUAUUUGAGAUUGACAUAAUUCCAUACU